CGCCCAUUCCAUCACUAUUUUUUAUUAGAAUACAGAAAAUACUAUUAGAAUACAAAAUACUUUAGCCAUCACAAACAGGUGGACAACCAAAGUAAGAUGUGGAAUUAUAGCUUGAAUCACACGCUUUUCAAUGGUGUAUUCAUCGUGUGGGAAAGUAUGUUUUUGUUCGUUUGCUUUUUGCAAGCACUUUUUUUCAUUUGCAGCCCGUGCCACAGGUGAUGAUGUACUUAU
This 231-nucleotide non-coding RNA is filed under the name Chaetoceros curvisetus. The record is from RNAcentral. Lineage: Eukaryota; Bacillariophyta; Thalassiosirophyceae; Chaetocerotales; Chaetocerotaceae.